GGGAUUAGGAAAGCGCCAUUUACACCAAACAUUUUGGCCGAGUCUUUUUGAGUUUAUAGGUUUUGUUAAAUAAUGCAAAGCUCAUAAUACCAUUAGUAUGGGCUAGACAUCAAUUAUAGCAUGUUCCAAGAAAUUAGUAACAAAUGAGAAAGAAGCCAGGGCUAUGCCUCUUGAAAACUCUCAAACACAAAGUGCAGCAGUGUAUGGUGCUGAUCAAUCCAAUUAUGGCUAUGAUACCUCUCAAACAUAUUAUCAGGAAACUGCGCCAUCACAAAUGCAGCCUAGUGUUCCCAGCAGUCCAUAUGGUGGAAAUUAUCAACCUCCCUCAAGUUCUCCUUAUGUAGCAUACGGAACUCCUGCUCCCUAUCAGCCCCCAAAUAUAUUCCUUCCAUCACAGACAUCUUCCCAGGUAUUUUUUG
This is an RNA transcript of Quercus robur (English oak), 419 nucleotides long. RefSeq lists it as uncharacterized. The record is from RefSeq and is a predicted model, not a curated record. NCBI's taxonomy places the organism in Eukaryota, Viridiplantae, Streptophyta, Magnoliopsida, Fagales, Fagaceae. The transcript is spliced from 3 exons.